RNAcentral lists this ribosomal RNA (541 nucleotides) under uncultured bacterium. Its description in RNAcentral is "bacterial SSU rRNA". It matches the Rfam family "Bacterial small subunit ribosomal RNA", at positions 355 to 889 of the family's 1533-position model. The record is from RNAcentral.
UGGGGAAUUUUGGGACAAUGGGCGAAAGCAUGAUCCAGCGACGCCGCGUGAGGGACGAAGCCCUUCGGGGUGUAAACCUAUGUUGUGAGGGACGAAUAAGAUCUGGAGGAAAUGCCAGAUCGAUGACGGUACCUCACGAGAAAGCCCCGGCUAACUACGUGCCAGCAGCCGCGGUAAUACGUAGGGGGCGAGCGUUACCAGGAUUCACUGGGAGUAAAGGGGGCGCAGGCGAUCCAGUAUGUCGGGUGUGAAAUCCCACAGCUCAACUGUGGAAUUGCGCCCGAAACUACUGGGUUUGGGGGUGGUAGAGAGAGAAGGAACUGCUGGUGUAGGGGUGAAAUCCGUAGAUAUCAGCAGGAACGCCGGUGGGGAAGCCUGUCUCGUGGGCCAAGCCCGACGAGGAGGCCCGAAAGCUAGGGGAGCAAACCGGAUUAGAUACCCGGGUAGUCCUAGCCGUAAACGAUGCCCACUAGGUGUGGGGGAGUCACUCCUCCCGUCCUGUAGCUAACGCAAUAAGUGCGCCGCAUGGAGAGCCGACUGU